Molecule: ribosomal RNA, 769 nt
Filed under: uncultured marine bacterium
Lineage: Bacteria
Description: bacterial SSU rRNA
Rfam family: Bacterial small subunit ribosomal RNA
Source: RNAcentral
ACUAAUACUGACACUGAGGUACGAAAAGCGUGGGUAGCAAACAGGAUUAGAUACCCUGGUAGUCCACGCCGUAAACGAUGAUAACUAGCCGUUGGGAGGAUUUACCUCUUAGUGGCGAAGCUAACGCGUUAAGUUAUCCGCCUGGGGAGUACGGCCGCAAGGCUAAAACUCAAAGGAAUUGACGGGGACCCGCACAAGCGGUGGAGCAUGUGGUUUAAUUCGAUGCAACGCGAAGAACCUUACCUGGUCUUGACAUACAGAGAACUUUCCAGAGAUGGAUUGGUGCCUUCGGGAACUCUGAUACAGGUGCUGCAUGGCUGUCGUCAGCUCGUGUCGUGAGAUGUUGGGUUAAGUCCCGUAACGAGCGCAACCCUUAUCCUUAUUUGCCAGCACAUUAUGGUGGGAACUAUAAGGAGACUGCCGGUGAUAAACCGGAGGAAGGCGGGGACGACGUCAAGUCAUCAUGGCCCUUACGACCAGGGCUACACACGUGCUACAAUGGGAAGGACAAAGGGUCGCUAAGCCGCGAGGUGGUGCUAAUCUCAUAAACCUUUUCGUAGUCCGGAUCGGAGUCUGCAACUCGACUCCGUGAAGUCGGAAUCGCUAGUAAUCGUGGAUCAGAAUGCCACGGUGAAUACGUUCCCGGGUCUUGUACACACCGCCCGUCAUACCAUGGGAGUGGGUUGCACCAGAAGUAGCUAGUCUAACUGUUUACAGGGGACGGUUACCACGGUGUGAUCCAUGACUGGGGUAAAGUCGUAACAAGGUA